UCACAGACGCGUUCCACUGCGUUCGAAUGCUUGCCGCCGCCAUAUUGAGUACCUGCGCUGAGUACCUGAACCACACAGCAGAAUUUUUUCUGUCUCU
Long non-coding RNA from Melanotaenia boesemani (Boeseman's rainbowfish), 97 nucleotides. RefSeq lists it as uncharacterized. The record is from RefSeq and is a predicted model, not a curated record. NCBI's taxonomy places the organism in Eukaryota, Metazoa, Chordata, Actinopteri, Atheriniformes, Melanotaeniidae. The transcript has 3 exons.